This 102-nucleotide Y RNA is filed under the name Aotus nancymaae (Ma's night monkey). RNAcentral describes it as "Y RNA (ENSANAG00000013007.1)". It matches the Rfam family "Y RNA". From Rfam's summary of the family: Y RNAs are components of the Ro ribonucleoprotein particle (Ro RNP), in association with Ro60 and La proteins. The Y RNAs and Ro60 and La proteins are well conserved, but the function of the Ro RNP is not known. The record is from Rfam by way of RNAcentral. Lineage: Eukaryota; Metazoa; Chordata; Mammalia; Primates; Aotidae.
GACUAGCCUAAGUACAGUGAUGUUUACAACUAAUUGACCACAAACAGUUACAGAUUUCUUAGUUCCUUUUCUACUUCCAUUGCUUCACUUGACUAGCCUUAG